Oncorhynchus gorbuscha (pink salmon) is the source of this 145-nucleotide long non-coding RNA. RefSeq lists it as uncharacterized. The record is from RefSeq and is a predicted model, not a curated record. The transcript is spliced from 3 exons. Lineage: Eukaryota; Metazoa; Chordata; Actinopteri; Salmoniformes; Salmonidae.
GAUCAGGACAGCCAGGUGAAACUGAGGAACAGAGAACAGGACAGCCAGGUGAAACUGAGGAACAGAGAACAGGACAGCCAGGUGAAACUGAGGAACAGAGAACAGGACAGCCAGGUGAAACUGAGGAACAGAGAACAGGACAGCC